RNAcentral lists this ribosomal RNA (425 nucleotides) under uncultured bacterium. RNAcentral describes it as "bacterial SSU rRNA". It matches the Rfam family "Bacterial small subunit ribosomal RNA", at positions 355 to 796 of the family's 1533-position model. The record is from RNAcentral.
UAAGGGAUAUUGCGCAAUGGGCGAAAGCCUGACGCAGCAACGCCGCGUGGAGGAUGAAGGGUUUCGGCUCGUAAACUCCUUUGGACCGAGACGAGCGAGGACGGUAUCGGUCAAACAAGUCACGGCUAACUACGUGCCAGCAGCCGCGGUAAAACGUAGGUGGCGAGCGUUAUCCGGAUUUACUGGGCGUAAAGGGUGUGCAGGCUGCCCGACAAGUGGUGUAUGAAAUCGCCCGGCUCAACCGGGCGGGGUUAUGCCAGACUGUGGGGCUCGAGUGCGGGAGAGGGGCGUGGAAUUCCGGGUGUAGUGGUGAAAUGCGUAGAGAUCCGGAGGAACCCCAGAGGCGAAGGCGGCGCCCUGGCCCGCAACUGACGCUCAGACACGACAGCAUGGGGAGCGAACGGGAUUAGAUACCCCCGUAGUCC